GGUGAGUAAUGCCUAGGAAUCUGNCUGGUAGUGGGGGACAACGUUUCGAAAGGAACGCUAAUACCGCAUACGUCCUACGGGAGAAAGCAGGGGACCUUCGGGCCUUGCGCUAUCAGAUGAGCCUAGGUCGGAUUAGCUUGUUGGUGAGGUAAUGGCUCACCAAGGCGACGAUCCGUAACUGGUCUGAAAGGAUGAUCAGUCACACUGGAACUGAGACACGGUCCAGACUCCUACGGGAGGCAGCAGUGGGGAAUAUUGGACAAUGGGCGAAAGCCUGAUCCAGCCAUGCCGCGUGUGUGAAGAAGGUCUUCGGAUUGUAAAGCACUUUAAGUUGGGAGGAAGGGUUGUAGAUUAAUACUCUGCAAUUUCGACGUUACCGACAGAAUAAGCACCGGCUAACUCUGUGCCAGCAGCCGCGGUAAUACAGAGGGUGCAAGCGUUAAUCGGAAUUACUGGGCGUAAAGCGCGCGUAGGUGGUUUGUUAAGUUGGAUGUGAAAGCCCCGGGCUCAACCUGGGAACUGCAUCCAAAACUGGCAAGCUAGAGUACGGUAGAGGGUGGUGGAAUUUCCUGUGUAGCGGUGAAAUGCGUAGAUAUAGGAAGGAACACCAGUGGCGAAGGCGACCACCUGGACUGAUACUGACACUGAGGUGCGAAAGCGUGGGGAGCAAACAGGAUUAGAUACCCUGGUAGUCCACGCCGUAAACGAUGUCAACUAGCCGUUGGAAUCCUUGAGAUUUUAGUGGCGCAGCUAACGCAUUAAGUUGACNNNCUGGGGAGUACGGCCGCAAGGUUAAAACUCAAAUGAAUUGANGGGGCCCGCACAAGCGGUGG
Molecule: ribosomal RNA, 833 nt
Filed under: uncultured bacterium
Lineage: Bacteria
Description: bacterial SSU rRNA
Rfam family: Bacterial small subunit ribosomal RNA
Source: RNAcentral